Potamilus streckersoni is the source of this 85-nucleotide non-coding RNA. The record is from the annotation of a GenBank genome assembly. NCBI's taxonomy places the organism in Eukaryota, Metazoa, Mollusca, Bivalvia, Unionida, Unionidae.
GACCGCUCCGGUGGCCUAAUGGUUGAAGCGUCCGCCUCUGAUGCGGGAGGUCAAAGUCGUGGGGGGUCAAACCCCGGCCGAGUCA